ACUUUUCCACCUGUUUUGAAACAAAAUUUCUACUUGUAUUUGCCACAAAGGAUACUACAUUGAAGUCUUUCACAACCAGUCCCUUCUAUCCAAUUUCCUCCAACUGAAAGGGGAAGCUUGCAGUGCUCCCUCAUGGGAAGUGCAUGUUCAUGGGGAAGAUCAAGCUGUGUGAAUCCUAUUAACCCUUGCAUCAUCAUACUGUAUAAUCUUAUUCUACAGUUAACUCUCAAACCUUUGGCAGGUGCCAGGAUAUGCUUUUGGAUUCCUAUAGUUCAAAAGAGACUGAAGAGUGAGAUUUAGAGUUUGAAUCUGAAAAAAAAAAAAAACAAAACUUCCACAUAUACUUCCCCUCAGUUGUUUGAACAGGCAAUUUUUUUUUUUUUUUUUAAAUUAGUUUGAACAGUAUGAAUUGGUUUUCAGAGUUGCACUCUCCUGUGCAAUACUUAAAACUCUCCAUGACCAUUUUGGAGCUAUUUGUUAAUUUGUUGUAGCAGCCAUGCUAGUGGAUGCCCAGCCAUCCCUAUCUUGUGCCUAUAAAACACGAGGGGGCUAGGAAAGGCAAAACAGCCGGAAUUAAUGAAGAAAAUAAAUGGCCUAGGUGGAAAUGCAGGCUAAUAAUAAAGAAACUACAGGAGGGCCUAUCCCAGUGUGCAUUUCAUUCAAAACCCUUCUCCAGGGGCUGGGAUUGAAACAUUCAUCUGUGUGCACCAUGUUGAAAAUGGAGUGAGGACUCCACUCUACCACUCAAAAUUAUGCAAAGAAGCUUUCUUUGGGAAACUGGUAAAGGGAAGGAACGUAAAUGUCAGCUGCAUGAAAACAUUUGCUGGUGGGGGAAUCUCCCAUCAGCUUUCUCUGUGCUAGUCUCUGAAAAUGUUGUCUGAUUCUUUUAAAAAUAUAUAUAUUUGGCCUCAAAUGCCACAAGAAAAGUGAUUUGUAAAAUUUGUUUAUUUCAAUUGUUAAGUGUUACAGUAAGAUCAAUUUUAAAAAGUCGACACCUCUUCUAUUUUUUUUCAAAGUUGCAGCAUUUUGAAGACAUUACGAUAGGUUUUAACAUACCUGAUUUCAGUCUGCCAGAUGGUUUAGAUCUGUAGAGUGACACUUGCUGAACAGCCCUUAGAGCAUUUCAAGUAAGGCAAGUUUUUUGGGUUUUUUGUGGUUUGUUUAUUUGUGUGUGCGUGUGUGUAAUAUUGGCUUUACCAACACAAUCCUCGGAUGUCUGAGUUUGGCUUUCACGGUAAAGCUUUCAGCCUUGCAAUGCUGAUGCUUUCCACACUACCUGUCAGAUGUGUGGUCAGGAAGAUGCUUGCUCACAUCCUUUGCACACAAAGGGUUAUGGCUUCCAUUCAGACUAAACUCAGGAUCCCUUGUUUGGCCACAAAGCCUCUUUGGUACCCCAACUCUCGUGCUCUGUUCCUUAGAGUAACUUCCAAGAUUUUCUAAUUAAUAAUCUCAUCUUCCUACUUGAGAAUCUUUCUUCUGAUGGCAUGAGAAUAAAUGAAGUGUGCUCUCUGGUGCCUCAAAGGGGCUCUAUGGAGCAGAAUGAAGAUGUGAUUUUUAGCAUGGAAAAGCAUUCUUGUUCUAACUGGUAGUGUUGGGGAUGAUGCUGUAACCAUAAUGGUCCAGAAAAAAUGGGAGAGGCAAACAAUUUUUGUGAUGAUAUCUUUUACUGGACCAACUGUACAGUUGGGAGGAACAUAAGCUUUCAGAUACCACUGUCUCUGAGACCUACAGGGUACAAUGGUACCCAAAAGCUUUUCUAUCUCUUCUAACUAUGCAGUCCAAUAAAAGAUUGCCUUAAAAGUCUUUGUUCUAGUCUCAGUUUGGUCAGUAGCAAUGAUAGGGUAAACAUGGCAGCAUGGUCUUUUGUGCAUGGGCUG
Gavialis gangeticus (Gharial) is the source of this 1877-nucleotide long non-coding RNA. RefSeq lists it as uncharacterized. The record is from RefSeq and is a predicted model, not a curated record. NCBI's taxonomy places the organism in Eukaryota, Metazoa, Chordata, Crocodylia, Gavialidae. The transcript has 3 exons.